This 451-nucleotide ribosomal RNA is filed under the name uncultured soil bacterium. RNAcentral's name for it is "bacterial SSU rRNA". It matches the Rfam family "Bacterial small subunit ribosomal RNA", at positions 26 to 526 of the family's 1533-position model. The record is from RNAcentral.
AGAACGAACGCUGGCGGCAUGCCUAAUACAUGCAAGUCGAACGAACUCUUCGGAGUUAGUGGCGCACGGGUGCGUAACGCGUGGGAAUCUGCCCUUGGGUUCGGAAUAACAGUUGGAAACGACUGCUAAUACCGGAUGAUGACGAAAGUCCAAAGAUUUAUCGCCCAGGGAUGAGCCCGCGUAGGAUUAGCUAGUUGGUGAGGUAAAGGCUCACCAAGGCGACGAUCCUUAGCUGGUCUGAGAGGAUGAUCAGCCACACUGGGACUGAGACACGGCCCAGACUCCUACGGGAGGCAGCAGUAGGGAAUAUUGGACAAUGGGCAAAGCCUGAUCCAGCAAUGCCGCGUGAGUGAUGAAGCCUUAGGUUGUAAAGCUCUUUUACCCGAGAUGAUAAUGACAGUAUCGGGAGAAUAAGCCCCGGAUAAACCUCCGUGCCUAGCGUAGACCCGAC